GGAAUAUUGCGCAAUGGGCGAAAGCCUGACGCAGCAACGCCGCGUGAGGGAUGAAGGCCUUCGGGUUGUAAACCUCUUUUAGCAGGGAAGAAGCGAAAGUGACGGUACCUGCAGAAAAAGCACCGGCUAACUACGUGCCAGCAGCCGCGGUAGUACGUAGGGUGCAAGCGUUAUCCGGAAUUAUUGGGCGUAAAGAGCUCGUAGGCGGUUUGUCGCGUCUGCUGUGAAAAUCUGAGGCUCAACCUCGGACUUGCAGUGGGUACGGGCAGACUAGAGUGCAGUAGGGGAGAAGGGAAUUCCUGGUGUAGCGGUGGAAUGCGCAGAUAUCAGGAGGAACACCAAUGGCGAAGGCACUUCUCUGGGCUGUAACUGACGCUGAGGAGCGAAAGCGUGGGGAGCGAACAGGAUUAGAUACCCUGGUAGUCCACGCCGUAAACGUUGGGCGCUAGAUGUGGGUCACAUUCCACGUGAUCCGUGUCGCAGCUAACGCAUUAAGCGCCCCGCCUGGGGAGUACGGCCGCAAGGCUAAAACUCAAAGGAAUUGACGG
RNAcentral lists this ribosomal RNA (548 nucleotides) under uncultured bacterium. RNAcentral describes it as "bacterial SSU rRNA". It matches the Rfam family "Bacterial small subunit ribosomal RNA", at positions 358 to 916 of the family's 1533-position model. The record is from RNAcentral.